UUAUAAAUUUCAGAUUCAUGUGUCCACAU
Molecule: non-coding RNA, 29 nt
Filed under: Rattus norvegicus (Norway rat)
Lineage: Eukaryota; Metazoa; Chordata; Mammalia; Rodentia; Muridae
Source: RNAcentral